AACCUAGAGCUAAAGCAUUGGUAGAUGACCUGCUUCUGGGUUGUGGUUUCAUAUGGAGAAAGCUGUCCUUUCACUCCAGUCUUUUGAAAGCCAGACCUUGACACAAGGGUUUG
RNAcentral lists this ribosomal RNA (113 nucleotides) under Homo sapiens (human). Its description in RNAcentral is "rRNA-28S_rRNA-related". Lineage: Eukaryota; Metazoa; Chordata; Mammalia; Primates; Hominidae. The record is from RNAcentral.